This is a non-coding RNA of Macaca mulatta (Rhesus monkey), 6495 nucleotides long. NCBI's taxonomy places the organism in Eukaryota, Metazoa, Chordata, Mammalia, Primates, Cercopithecidae. The record is from RefSeq and is a predicted model, not a curated record.
CGCAGGGGGAGCAAGGCGACGGUUGCCGGGAAGCGCGCGCCACCCCUCCCUCCCAUUCUUCGUCCUCCCCUCGCGCGCCACCCGUUUUUCCCUCUUUCUCCGUUAAUAACAGCUGGGUGGCUGGGGGAGGAGGGAAGGUGGCCCCGGCGGAGUCUGGGCGGGCGCCUCCCGCUCAGCCGCCAGCCGCCUUGGGAGCCGGAGGAUAGCGGCGCUAGCGGCGGCCGCCCGAGAGGAGGCUGUGCCGAGGCUCGGGGCGCCGAGCGCAGCAGCAGAGAGCACCAGCGACCCGUUGUGGCGCACCAGACGCAAAACCAGCGGCAGCCGCACGGCCAACUGAGCCGCCCCUUCCUGCUGGAGCCAGCGAGGGGUGCGCGCAGCCGGGACCCCUUCCUCUGCGCGUCUCCUCGUUUCCCCCGCCCGCGUCAAGCCGCCAGCCUCGCCCGCCGCCCAGAGAAGGGGGCGCCGGGCGGCGGCCCUGUACGCGCGGGGGCCUCUCUGGACCGGCCGCGGCGCCUGGGCCCUGCUCUCUAGCUCCCGCGCUCACUCCUGCCCUCUGGGCUCUCCGGGCGCAGCGCGCAGGCCGGGCCGGACCCUGCCCGGGCCAGGACGGACAUGAGCGCCAAGCAGAGCGGCCCGACAGCAGUUAACAGUCGCACGCGCGCGUGCUCGGGCUCAGAUCUACUUUCCAGUAGCAGCGGAGGGGCCAAUGGGACCGCGGGCGGCGGAGGCGCUCUGACCGCCGCUGCGCGGAGGUUCCCAGAUCAGGUGCCCAAUGCGCACCAGCUCAGCGCUACGGCCGGCGCCGCGGCGGCUUCGGCAGUGCCGCGCAGCCGCUGCCUCGGCGGGGCCGUGGGGAGCGUGGCGUCGGCGGCCCGUGCGGCGCAGUCCUCCUUCAGCAUCCCGAACAGCAGCGGCGGCCCCUACGGCUCGCAGGACUCGGUGCACAGCAGCCCUGAAGACGGCGGCGGCGGCGGCCGGGAGCACCGGGGUACUGCGCCCGGUGAUUGGCUCCUUACCAGCUCUCCUCUCGCCGCACAUGUUUGGAGACUGUAUCAUCAUUUGCAUAGAAAAAUCCAAAGGAUUCUACAAACAAGCUACUAGAACCGCUGACUUCAUCAAGAUGCAGGUGCUGAGAAACAAUCUCUGUUACCCAAGAGCCAGCUAAUCCUUUUUACCAACUAUGAUAAUUGGCUGCCCUGAUUCAGAUAACAUUUCUUUUUUGUGACAUAGGGGUGACCACUGUUAGAAAACCCUGAAAAUGUUUUAAAACAAGAACUAAUGGGGCUUGGCGAUUCUUGCCACGCUUUUCCAGAGCUCGGACCUUGCUAUUACUUGCUCCUAGGCACCCACAAACCCUUGCUUGUUAAACUGAUCUCCUUCAAGAUUCAAGAAAAGCGGCAUGGGGCUCCCUCCUAGGGCCCUCCUGCCCUCUCCUCACAGAUGCCGAGAGUGGUCCUGGUGGAGAAACGAUGGGCCUGCAGGUCCUGCACCUUAUCCUGGAGCUGCGCCAGGAAAUUAUGGAUCAACCGGAAGCAGCCCAGAAGAAGGGUCUUGGCUGAUCACUUCCAACUAGCCGUCUCAGAUUGCGGACCUCUGCGCACCCCCUGCCAAGUUCCCUCCGCCUAGGGUGGAAAGUUGCAGAGGCCACCCCACUCUUCCAUCUCAGGCUCCUGGGCUUGGGAUGCUCUGCACCGCAGCUUCGUCUGACUGGGGCGGGAAGAUUGAAAAGGCUCUGGAGUCUCCGCUUUUGAGCUUACUCCUCGAUUGCUGGACUACUUUCUCAUAGUCCCUGUUUUGGUCAAUUUCCGGUGCAGGCCAGCCUAGUUGGGUGAGGUCUGGAAAGGCCUGACUCGCCUGGUAGCCUCAAGGACUUGUACCCACCGCAGUUGUGGACUUCUGGGUCGUCAUGGCAACUGUGAAAUGUGGUUCUGGGGGACGUGCAGUUGAAGCCAUUCGCGAGGGCAGUCCCUCCCUGUCCCCUCACGUGCUCCCCACUGUGCGCAGUACUCCGGCCUCCGUGCUUCUGAAAGCAGCCCAGAAGAAGGGUCUUAGCGAUCACCUCCAGCUGUAAGCCGUUUCGCCUCUCAGAUUGCAGACCUACACCCGCCCCCUGGCAGGUUCCCUCCGCCUAGUGUCCAAAGCCGCAGAGGCAGCCCCGACUCUUCCGCCACUUCCUCCCUCUUCAGCUCCAGGCUUGGGAGGCCGGCGCGCCACCACUUUGACUGGCUGGGGCAGGAAGAUUGAAACGGCUCAGGAGACUCCGCUUUUGAGCUUAUUCCUCGUUUGCCCGACUAUUUUUAAUAGUCCCUGUACCGGUCAAUUUCUGGCACAGCCCAGCUGAGUAGGGUGAGGUCUGUAAAGGCCUGACUCGCCUCUCAGCCUCAACGACUUGUACCCGCCGCCAUUGCGGACUUCCGGGUCAUCAUGGCGAUUGUGAAAUGUGGGGUAGGGAGAAUGCGGUUGAAACCAUUUGCGCGGGCAGUGCCUUCGUGUCCCCACGUGCACCGCAGCGAGCAGAGCACCUCCGCCUCUGCGCUUACUGGAGCAUGCUGCCUUUGGUGAGGGCAGCCCCCCACACCCUCCCCAGCGUCUGCAGCCUUCCGUGUGCACAGUCCCCAAACCCGCACAGUCCCCAAGCCCGCACGUGCAGUCCCCACCUUGCCAGCAGGUCCACAUACAGCCCCCCACACGCUACCAGCCCCACUGAUGCAGAACCCAUCACUGCUCGCCCUUCACACACUUCAGUGGGUGUGCAGUCCCCCGAGCACGCAGCUCCACACAGCCUCCCCACAUGCUCCCCAGCGCCUGCAGCCUUCUCUUAACUUCUUUUGCCAGGCCCAUACAUACCUGCCUGUAGACAACGACAGGUAUGGCAACCUGUCGUAUGCCAGUGGAUUGGCAACGACAAUGGUGACAGCUGACAUUUAUUGAAUACAUGCUAUGUUCCAGAUGCUGCAUCUCCAUUUCUCAGAUGAAGAAUCUAAGUCUCAGGGCCUCAUCCAAAACCAUACAGGUAAUAAGCAGUAGAGCUGGGAUCUAAGCUGAGGGAAUUUUACUCUAGAACUCACAGUAUUAACCACAGUGCUCUCUUGGCUUAUAUUUCUAAGGUACAUGCUGUAACCACUUUUAUUUUUUUAUUUUUAUUUAUUUUUUUAUUUUGAGAUGGGGUCUCACUCUGACACCCAGGCUGGAGUGCAGUGGUGCGAUCUCGGCUGAUUGCAACCUUCGCCUCCCAGAUUCAAGGGAUUCCCUUGCCUCAGCGUCCUGAGUAGCUGGGAUUACAGGCACGUGCCACCAUGCCCAGCUAAUUUUUUGUAUUUUUAGUAGAGAUGGGGAUUUGCCAUGUUGCCCAGGCUGGUCUUAAACUCCUGACCUCAGGAGAUCCGCCAGCCUCGGCUUCCCAAAGUGGUGGGAUUACAGGCGUGAGCUGCCACACCCUGCCUAUAACCAUUCCUUUUUUAGGGAGGUGUGGUAUAUGGUGCUACCCUGGAUCUAUAGUCAGGAUUUGAAGAAGAGAGAAGGUAUUUGCUUUUGAAGAAGGCACCUAUGCAUUGUGCUGGGUAGUGGCGACUGGAGAGAGAGCUGGGAGGGGCACAGGCAGCAAGGUCCAUGCUUAAAGGCAGUUAUCUAGUUUGGAGAAACUUAGCUGGAUAGUCCUUACAUGCAUUUGGCAAGCACUUAUCAUACACUGUAAAGACGCAAUUUGUCUAGCUUGUUAGAGGGUGGGCUCUGGAGUCAGACUCCUGGCUUUGAACCCCAACUUCCCUGCCAUUUUCAAAUGACACUGGAGAAGUCGCAAAACCUAUUUCUGUCUCAGAUUCCUCCCCAGUAAAAGUUGGAUAUUAAUAGUACCUCCUUUGGCUUGAUAUGAAAAUUCGAUGAGUUGAUAUAUGCAGAACAUCUUAGAACAGCAACCAGCUUAGAGUAAAUCUUCAGUAAUUGUAAACUGUGGUUAUACUAUGUUUUUGGCACUGAAGUCACGUUGUGGUUAAUAAGAUAGUGCCUGACCUCAAGAAACUCAGAGUCUAGUAAUGGAGACAGGUAAACAAAUACUUGCAAAGUGUGUGGCAUGAGAGAGGUGUGACAGGUGGGUGGGAACCUGCAGCAGGCACAUCUGACCCAUCCUAGGUGUGUAUGGUGCAGAGAAGUUAGCUUAGGCUUUCUAGGGGCACUGAUGUCUGGGCCAAGUCUUGUAGGGCAGGGAGCUAUGGGGCACAUGUAGUGAUCCAGCUGGGGGCUGAGCAGGAGCUGAAAGUGAGCAGCUCACAUCUGUAGGAUUGCCAGAUUUAGCAACGGAAAGUACAGGAUGCCCUAUUAAAUGUGAAUUUCAGAUAAUAACUUUUAAGAAUAAGUAUGUGUCAUGCAAUAUUUUUAGUAUAAGUAUGUCCCAAAUAUUGUAUAGCCACACAAAUUAUUCAUUGUUUAUCUGAAAUUCAGAUUUCACUGGGCAUCCUAUGAAAAGUCUGGCAAUUUUAUCUGUCCACAUUUAGGAAGGUGCAGUGUGUUUCAGAGUAGCUGGAGUGAUGCAAGGAGGAAAGGCAGAGUGGGCCGGAUGGGACUGAGAGGCACGCAGGAGGCACUUCAUAAAAGACCUAUGCUAUGUUAAGGGAUUUGGAUUUUAUCCUGAAAUUAAUGAUUAGCCCUUAGAGACCUUUAACCACAGGGACGUGAAACCACGGAGACAGCAGUGUCAGGCAUGAUGAAAUGAGUGUCAGUUUCUAUGGCUGAAUAGCAAAUUACUCCAAAUUUAGAGUCUUAAACAGUAAACAUUUAUUAUCUCCCAGUUUCUGUGGCUCAGGAAUUCAGAGGCAACUUAGCUGAGUGGUUCUGGCUGAGGUUUCUCAUGAGGUUGUAGACAAGAUGGUGACCAGAGUGGCAGUUAUCUAAAGGAUGCACUGGAGCUGGAGAAUGUGCUUCUAAGGUGACUCACUCUAAUGGUUGGGAAGACACUGCUGGUUGUCAGUAGGGGAGCUCAGUUCCUUGUCACAGGGACCCACCACAGGACAACUUGAGCCUCCUCACUACAUGACAACUGGCUUAGUGAUCCGAGACAGCAAAGUGACCUUAACUUUGGAAGUCACAUGCUGCCUUGUCAUUCCCAUAUAUCCCAGUGUGAACACAGUUCAGCCCUGCUCAACCGGACAUACAAAAUUUAGACAGACACCAAACAGGACAAUAGACACUGGGCAAGGACUUCUUCAGGGUCCUUAGUACAGAUUUUCUAUCUCAGGAGGUCAAAUCUCUCAUCAGUCGUUUGGGCUGGCCAUCCCAGUCCUGCCUUUUCUGUCAGAAACAAAUCAGGUGUUGUUACGGGGAGGGGUGUGGAAGACAUUCGCCCAUUUGGGAUUCCUGGUACCAUAAAGAUUGCUGGUGUUUAGAUCGCCAUACUCCAUGCCCCAAUGACUGGACCAUCUUCUCCUUAGACCAGUGGUGGAUUCAAAAUAGCCACCCUGCAGACCUCCUUGCUCACCUUUUCUGUCAUCCUGUAACUUUUCCCAUGCCCUUAGAUAAGGCACUGUGCAGAGAAACCUACGCCCGUAGUGCUCUACUCCAUCCGUCUGGAUUCUUAUUCUAUCCCUCCGUGGCUACUGUCCUACUUUAGGAAAGAUCCGAGCGGCCCCGCACAUCUCGUUUUCCUGUGUCACUGCAAGUCCAGCCCUUCAAUACUUGACUCUGCUCUCCCUCCUAGAACCCUUAAAAGAAAGGGCCGAGUUUGAACUUUCUGCCUUUGAGUCGUGGAGACACCACAGAUAAUUUGGGCUAUAAGUUAAGGGGUGAGGGGGUCCUUGAGGAGGCAGAUCUUAUGUGACAAGAAGCAUUAGCUACAGCUGUUUUCCUGCUUCUUCUAGCUAUAAUACUUCUGAUACUGAGAGGUGACAAUGUGCUAGCAGCCGUAGCGCUCAGCGCCGCCUCGGCCUCAGCCACUCUGGCGGCGCUUGAGGAGCCCUUCAGCCUGCCGGGGCACCGUGGGAACCCCGCUCUGGGCUGGCUGAGGCGGAAGCCAUCUCCCUCUGCUUGCAGGGAGGUGUGAAGGGAGAAGUGCGGGCAGGAACUGGGGCUUCGUGCAGCGCUCACCGGCCAGAGUGAGUUCUGGCGGGCCGGGCACGGGCUUGGUGGGCCCCGCACAGGAGCGGCCGGCUGGCGGGGUCAUCCGGUGCUGCUGGCCCAGGGCAAUGAGGGGCUUAGCAUCCAGGCCGGCAGCUGCAGAGGGUGCACCAGGUCCCCUGGCAGUGCCGGCCUGCCAGUGCUGUGCUCGAAUUCUUGUGGAGCCUCAGCUGCCUCCCCGCGGGGCAGGGCUCGGGACCUGGAGCCCACCAUGUCCGAGCCCCCCUCCACCAUGGUCUCCCACGCGGCUGGAGCGGUCCGAGCUUCCCUGUCGGGCUCUGCCCCCUGCUCCGUGGCACUUGGUCCCAUCAACCACCCAAGGGCUGAGGAGUGGCAGGCGCAACUCAGGACUGGCAGGCAGCUCCGCCUGCAGCCCCGGUGCAGGAUCCA